This 699-nucleotide ribosomal RNA is filed under the name uncultured bacterium. RNAcentral describes it as "bacterial SSU rRNA". It matches the Rfam family "Bacterial small subunit ribosomal RNA", at positions 804 to 1504 of the family's 1533-position model. The record is from RNAcentral.
AAACGAUGGGUGCUAGUUGUCAGGCAGCUUGCUGCUUGGUGACGCAGCUAACGCGUUAAGCACCCCGCCUGGGGACUACGGUCGCAAGACUAAAACUCAAAGGAAUUGACGGGGGCCCGCACAAGCGGUGGAGCAUGUGGUUUAAUUCGAGGCAACGCGAAGAACCUUACCAGCUUUUGACAUCCCGGUCGCGGUUAGCAGAGAUGCUUUCCUUCAGUUCGGCUGGACCGGUGACAGGUGCUGCAUGGUUGUCGUCAGCUCGUGUCGUGAGAUGUUGGGUUAAGUCCCGCAACGAGCGCAACCCUCGCCUUUAGUUGCCAGCAUUCAGUUGGGCACUCUAGAGGGACUGCCGGUGAUAAGCCGGAGGAAGGUGGGGAUGACGUCAAAUCAUCAUGGCCCUUACGGGCUGGGCUACACACGUGCUACAAUGGCGGUGACAGUGAGCAGCCACUCAGCAAUGGGGAGCUAAUCUCUAAAAGCCGUCCCAGUUCGGAUUGUUCUCUGCAACUCGAGAGCAUGAAGUUGGAAUCGCUAGUAAUCGUGGAUCAGCAUGCCACGGUGAAUACGUUCCCGGGCCUUGUACACACCGCCCGUCACACCAUGGGAGUUGGUUUUACCCGAAGACUGUGUGCUAACUUAGGAGGCAGCAGGCCACGGUAAGGUCAGCGACUGGGGUGAAGUCGUAACAAGGUAGCCGUA